Molecule: ribosomal RNA, 366 nt
Filed under: uncultured bacterium
Lineage: Bacteria
Description: bacterial SSU rRNA
Rfam family: Bacterial small subunit ribosomal RNA
Source: RNAcentral
AUUGAACGCUGGCGGCAUGCCUUACACAUGCAAGUCGAACGGCAGCACGGGAGCAAUCCUGGUGGCGAGUGGCGAACGGGUGAGUAAUACAUCGGAACGUGCCCGGUAGUGGGGGAUAACCCGGCGAAAGCCGGACUAAUACCGCAUACGACCUACGGGUGAAAGCAGGGGAUCGCAAGACCUUGCGCUAUCGGAGCGGCCGAUGUCAGAUUAGCUUGUUGGCGGGGGUAAAAGCCCACCAAGGCGACGAUCUGUAGCUGGUCUGAGAGGACGACCAGCCACACUGGGACUGAGACACGGCCCAGACUCCUACGGGAGGCAGCAGUGGGGAAUUUUGGGACAAUGGGCGCAAGCCUGAUCCAGCCA